AAUGCAAGUCGAGCGAACAGAUAAGGAGCUUGCUCCUUUGACGUUAGCGGCGGACGGGUGAGUAACACGUGGGUAACCUACCUAUAAGACUGGAAUAACUCCGGGAAACCGGGGCUAAUGCCGGAUAACAUUUAGAACCGCAUGGUUCUAAAGUGAAAGAUGGUUUUGCUAUCACUUAUAGAUGGACCCGCGCCGUAUUAGCUAGUUGGUAAGGUAAUGGCUUACCAAGGCAACGAUACGUAGCCGACCUGAGAGGGUGAUCGGCCACACUGGAACUGAGACACGGUCCAGACUCCUACGGGAGGCAGCAGUAGGGAAUCUUCCGCAAUGGGCGAAAGCCUGACGGAGCAACGCCGCGUGAGUGAUGAAGGGUUUCGGCUCGUAAAACUCUGUUAUUAGGGAAGAACAAACGUGUAAGUAACUGUGCACGUCUUGACGGUACCUAAUCAGAAAGCCACGGCUAACUACGUGCCAGCAGCCGCGGUAAUACGUAGGUGGCAAGCGUUAUCCGGAAUUAUUGGGCGUAAAGCGCGCGUAGGCGGUUUCUUAAGUCUGAUGUGAAAGCCCACGGCUCAACCGUGGAGGGUCAUUGGAAACUGGGAGACUUGAGUGCAGAAGAGGAAAGUGGAAUUCCAUGUGUAGCGGUGAAAUGCGCAGAGAUAUGGAGGAACACCAGUGGCGAAGGCGACUUUCUGGUCUGUAACUGACGCUGAUGUGCGAAAGCGUGGGGAUCAAACAGGAUUAGAUACCCUGGUAGUCCACGCCGUAAACGAUGAGUGUUAAGUGUUAGGG
Molecule: ribosomal RNA, 792 nt
Filed under: Staphylococcus arlettae
Lineage: Bacteria; Bacillati; Bacillota; Bacilli; Caryophanales; Staphylococcaceae
Description: bacterial SSU rRNA
Rfam family: Bacterial small subunit ribosomal RNA
Source: RNAcentral